Non-coding RNA from Rattus norvegicus (Norway rat), 6383 nucleotides. The record is from RefSeq and is a predicted model, not a curated record. NCBI's taxonomy places the organism in Eukaryota, Metazoa, Chordata, Mammalia, Rodentia, Muridae.
GCACGGGAGAGCCCCGCGCGCCUGCGCGUACGGAACAAUUCCAGGGUGGUAAAAUCCGCAAAGUAAGAACACACCCAACACCGGAGCUGGAGCCCGGAGGCCUGCGCUGGAGGACGACGGCGGGAGCACAGGAACAGAGGGAGAAACAUCAAUGCUGGAGAUCAUUUCUUCUAGAGGGCAUAAUAUCAUAAACACACCCUCUUGCUUUACCAAAGUUUCAAGUGUUUCCAAAUCAUUCAGUGAACAGCAGCCUAAGAUCUAACAAAUGCUGCAUAUUCCCAUUGAGUUAUUUUCAGGCUGAAUUGUGAGGAAAAACUGUCCAUAUCUAAAGAGAAGUGACAACCACAAACGCUCAGGAAAUCCAGGAGUCCAGGAAAUAAGGAUAUGCAGGAUGAAGCCUGGAACUAAGCAACUGCACGUCCAGACAGGAGAGAAGCUGACUACAGGCUCAUGAAGAGGAGAGAAGAAUGGGUUUCUCCAACUCCAGGGCAAGCACCACUUCUAGUCUAUGCUGCCUUUUAGUUUCUGGAUGGCCUAACACACCACUCGCCUUCCAUUUCUACUGGACAAAUGUUUCAAAUGGAAGUGAAACAUGCUAUUUCCAGGUCUAAAAACCCUUAAAACUGUAAAUUUACUACAGAGUAGCACUGAUGGAACUGGCACAAUGGCUCCCUGACUUCAAUCUCUAAAACACUAUUGAAUGCAAAAGGAAAGACGCAGCCCAUAGCACUUGUCUUCUGUCCUACACACACACACUGUAGGGUGCCCCCAGACACUAUCACAGACGCACAGCACGUGAUCACAACAGAAGAAUUAAAACCACAGAGUGGGGAUACAAAUGGACACAGACCAGUGCUGAGGUGACAUGGUGGCUCUAUGGCCUGUCAGCCUUUCAAAUUUUCUCUAAGUAAACAAAGUAAACAGGCCCGGAAUGAAGCUCACUUAACAAAGCCAUUCGGCCACUUCCUUACUACAGUGUGUCCAGGGAACACAGGCCCCCGACUGCUUAGAUCAUCACUGAACAAGCAGGGAAGGAGCACUGUCAGGAACACAUUGACACCGGUUUCCUAAAACAAGCUUGCUCUCUAAUCUGGGGAUGCACUGCCUGUGCACUCGCUGAAGGACUGGAUGUUUACACAGACACGGGUUUCUCAAAACAACCAUUCCCAGAAAGCCAGAACUGAGACAUAGCUGAUGGGCCACACUGGUGUAAAAUGUUACAUGCUAUUACCCUUCUCAAAAUUAUACUAAAGAAAAGAAAGGCACAUUCCGUGUCGUUUGCUGUCCAGGUUUGGGAGAGCUCCCUUAAGUGUGGAAUGAGGAAAACUGCAGGGGAAAGGGGAAAUGGGCAAAGGAAUUUUAAAAAGGACAAGAGCGGUCAGAAACAAAGCUCAACAUUGCUUAGCUUUUGCUUAGCUCAAAAGGACUUGCUACACCAACCCUCUCGCAUUACGAAAUUCAGGGAGAUGACAGUUCCAUCAUCUCCUUAGAUGCCAGCAAUCAUGUGCAUGUCAUAUCUGUUAACCCUUCUUUCUCAUAACACACACACGCGCGCACACACAGACACACACACGGAGAUUUAUGAAAGUAUUGACUGUUAACAUUCAGUAAGAAUACAUACACACAGACUGCUUCAAAAAAAGAAAAAAGAAUACCUGUUUUCAUGAGCUUUAAAUUCACAGAGGCACACUAGGGUAUCACAGUCAAAAAACCUUACAACUUCUUCAUCUCCAGCCACUGCAAGGACAGAGUCCUAGGGGGAAAAAAAAAAAAUGCCCAGAAUGUCCUCAGGAAUUCUCACACCUCAAAACUGCCAGCCCUGCUUUCCGGAACUCACUGAGAGAAACGUAAUGGCAGAGAUCCUCUUUCCAUUUGUGAGGGUGCCGCUCACAGACGCCGUGUCCAGAUGAUAGACAUCCACUUUAUUCAUCACAACAACUACGUACUUCUCUCCGUUUGGGGACCACUCCACUAUGUGAGCAUCUGUAAGGCAAAAAUGUUUUUAUCUUCAGCUGGAGAGAUGGCUCCGCUCUUCUGGGGAACCUGGCUUGGUGCCCAGCACCCACACGGUGGUUCACAACCAUCUGUAAUUCAAGUUCCGGGGGAUGUGAUGUCAUCUUUUGGUAUCCAAGGUUCCAAGGACCCAAGUAGUACACAAACAUACAUGUGGGCAAAACACCCAUUCACAUAAAAUAAUAAAUAUAUAAAAAUGUGUCUGCAUACAUUCAUAGUUAUUGUAAAACGUACACAUAAAAUAACAAAUAUAUAAAAAUGUAUCUGCAUACAUUCAUAGUUAUUGUAAAAAGUGCAAAAUACUCACUUUGCUUUAUAUUUUUUAUGAAAGCUGAUCUUCCCUCUACAAGAUUCCACGUUCUGCAAAACAGAAGGCUUGUGUACAGCAUGAUCAUUAUGUCACUAAGUAGGACAAAACAAGCACAACAGGCCUCCACACAGGACAAUCUCACAAUUUACUCUGUAGACAUUUGUCUGUAUUUUCCUUCCAGCAUGAUUAAAGCUCAGCCCUAAGCAUUUUAUCUCCUAAGCAUUUCCCUUCAGGGUCCCUCUCCUCCUCAACUUGCUGUGUAGACCAGGCUGGCCUCAGAUUCAGAGACCAGACUGCCUUUGGCCCCUGAACGCUGGGGUUAAAUAUGUGUACCACCUUGCCUGGCCAAUACAGACUGUUUCUACAUCAUCUUUAUGAAAUAGUUCACUGACUCUCUAUUUUGCCCUUGUUAUUACAGUAACUUAAAUGGCUGAAAAUUUCGGAACAACACGGACACAGUAUCUUGUUAUUACCAAGUAAAAAAUAUAUUAGUAAAGACGCCCUUGGGCAUUUAUAACUUACCUUAAUGUCUUAUCAGUACCAACAGACAGAGCCAACUUGCCAGACGGGUGGAUAGAAAGGAAAGUCACAUGUCCCCUAAAAGGAAACCGACAGUCAGGCCUCAGCUUGAGUGGCCUUGCAAGACUGCCCACAGGAGCACGUGGCCUCACCUGUGAGCUUUAAUGGACUUCAGGCACUCCCAUUUCUUUGCAUCCCAGACACAGAUGAGCCCAUCUUCUGCUCCACUGAUUAAGUGCCGGCUGCCAUAGAAUUUCAGGCAAGUUACUGUGCCUGUGAAAAAGCAAGAGAAGCAAAAUUAAUCCAUUUCUGACUGGAAGCUCGGGAAGAUGACUGCAGUUUGGAAGUGGCUCUGAGAAGAACACACAGACCCAUGUUCAAUCCGUAGUACCACGAAAACACAACCAACACCUUAGUACUACAGAAUCAUACCUUAAAGGUUUAGGUAAAGAAUUCAAGUUUUUCAUAUUAAAACCAACAGUUUUCAUUUGCUUUGGUGGCUCUGGGAGACUAAACUCAAGAGCCUCUGUACAUACUAAGCAGGGUAUAAUACCAGUGUAAGGCAGCAGCUUUAGGCUGGCAGAGCUGGCGCAUACCUUUAAUCCCAUGACAGGCAGAUCUCUGAGACGAGUCCAACCUGGUCUACAGGGCAAGUUCCAGAAAGCCAGGGCUUUACAGAGAACCCUGUUUCAAAAAUACAAAGUCAAAAAGAGAAUGCAGCUUUAAGUGUAUGCAGAUGUUUCAGCACGCUGAGCCAUGACUCCUACUUUCUAAGUUUGAGCCACCUAUCCAAUCACGACUAAUGGCCAGUUGUGGUUUAUGUCUGCACUCUUCUCAUUUACUGCCGUCAGAAGUUAGUAACGAUGCUAUAAAAUGUUACUGGUCCAGCUCUGUGGCUAACAAACCUUCCUUAAUCGUUUCAAUCACUUCAGAACCUUCACUUCCCAACACCAACUGAAGCCUUGUUCUCCCAAACCUUCCUCUCCCCAAUCAAAUACUAAAAGACCAAGGAGGGGUGGUGAUGGAAAACAUUACAAACUUCUGGCCACAAAGCUGUUCAAAGCCCACCUUCACCUUUGCAAUGUCAUUGAAGUCUGUAGGAACUGUACAGCAGUCACAGUUCACUCUCCAAGGACACACUGCUCCUGCAGAGCUGAGUGACCAUAACAUGGGCCAUGCACAAGGCCCACAAGGCCUCAACACUGACGAUUUGGUCCUCUGCAGAAUGUAACUGAAAAGACCUGGCCACUAUUUCCAUCUCUUCACCUCCUGUCAUCCUCUAGUAACUCUACCUCCUCAUGCCUGCUCCUUCUAUCCAGGACUCCCACCUACCCCAAGACAAGAACUUACCUAUUACUAUUUGAAAAGAACGGGACUUAUACAAGGCAGGGAGGAGAGCAGGGUCCCUACUGCACGCAUCCGUCUAAGUCCCUUCUGACUGCUGAAUGUAUAACCCUGCAUGGAGAGGUUACUCAGAGCCCAGCUUCGGCUGGAGAGCGAAGCACUUGGCAAAGAUGCUCUGCAACUCUGCUAGAAGCAAGUGUCUAUCAUUCCAGUUUAAAUCCUAGAAACCAAUAGUCGGUGCAUAACCUUAAAACAUUAAAAGGGAAGAAAGGGGCUUAUUUUAAUAUGCCUUUCUUAAUCGGAGAAGCUCUGGCGAAGCUCCUCAAGCUAAAAACAAAUUAAAUGAAUGCUGAGCUCUCCUCUGCCUUUACCUUCACCUGUUACAUGGAAAAUGCGACUAAAUAAAAACCAGUUACUCUCCUCACCCCUGCAUGUGCCUCUAUGUUGGGCAACCUUGCACAGGCAGUGUGCAGUGCCUCCUCCCUGGCCCUCUGCUCCUCUGUUCUUCACUCCGGCACACCUCAGGUCCUCUGUGGUAAGCAUGCUGCAGGUGCACUGAGACUACAGAAAAGCCUGCCUACCUCCCUGCCUGAUAGGACAGGAAAGUGACCUAAGGAUAAGGACCAACUUUUCCCUUCAUUUGUGUGGUAGUUUCAGCAACAAUGGCACCCACAGUUCAUAGGGAAAGGCACAAUUAGGAGGUGUGGCUUUGCUGGCGUAUGUGUGGCCCUGUUAAAAGAAGUGUGGCACUGGGGUGGGCUCUGAGGUUUCAAGUGCUCAAGGCAGACCCAGUGUCACUUGCUCUUCCUGCUGCCUGUCAAAUCUGGAAACCCCCAGCAACCUUUGCAACACCGUAUGUGUCAGCAUGCCACCAUGCUUCCAGCCAUGACAAGAACAGAUUGAACCUCUGAACCAUAAGCCAUUCCUAAUUAAAUGUUUUCCUUUGUAAGAAUUACUGUGAUCAUGGUAUCUCUUCACAGCAAUAGAAACCCUACAUGAGACAUGAGACAACUUCUUCUCCCAUCACACACUCUGGACACGGUAGAGACAUUCACCAAUCAGUCCCAGAUAGAACUGAAUUCAACUAUAAAGUGGUAAUACCCCCACGUAUCCUAAAGGCUAUAACUUUGGGGUGGUUUAAACAGGAAUACCUCAUCCCCCUAGUUCAUACAUUGGCAUGCUUAGUCAACAGGGAGCAGAAGUGUUUGACAAGAAUGGUGAAGAUUAGGAGGCAUGUCCCUGGGAGUGGGCUUUGAAAGGCCCCACAUCUCUGCUGCCUGCAGUUCAGCUCAGCUACAGCUCCAUUGUAGAGGGUGAAAAGUCCCCGUGCGAACACACAGCUUCUUUCCAAAGGAAGGCCUGUGGCUGCUCUCCUGGAAUGCUGGGGGAAGUGUAGUUCACAACCUGGUAAUGCUUUGCUACUUGUUGAUCCAGGCUCUGCUGUAUCCCCAUACAAUCAAGUUUGUUUAUGCCAGACUUGCCCCUCCUCCCUAAAACCUGAGCCUACUUCUAAGGCCAAAAAGUCAUCCUUGUCAGAGAUAUCACUUGUGCUUCCAACAGCCUGAGAGACCUCUAUGCUGUCUUAGAGUGAGGCCAGUGCUGGCGCCCACAGGGUGUGUUUACCUCAGUCAUUCUCCAUAGGCCCUACACUUGAGCACUGAUUCGAAGUCAACAGAACCAUCUUAUGAAGAAGCCAUCUUGACUUUGUAAAGAUCUCCAACGUAAACAUGUCUUAAGCUUUGUUGUACACAUGGGACAGAGUUAACUGGAUUUUUUUUCUGUUUUUAAGAUUUAUUUAUUUUAUGUGAAUAUCUUGUAGCUGUCUUCAAACACACCAGAAGAGGGCAUCUGAUCCCAUAACAGAUGACUGUGAGCCAACACGUGGUUGCUGGGAAUUGAACUCAGGACCUCUGGAAGAGCAGUCAGUGCUCUUAACCGCUGAGCCAUCUCUCCAGCCCCGGAAUUAACUAGUAACCAAAGACUUUUUUCAAAACUUCGGUAUGCUUAAAUAUGGCUAAAAAAAUGAACUGGUGCCAGACUCUCAAAGUUUGGCCCAGCACCAGUUGCCUAAAUCAUGUGGAACUGUGUUUCAUUAUUUCUCUCUCUCUCUCUCUCUCUCUCUCUCUCUCUCUCUCUCUCUCUCACACACACACACACACACACACACACACACACACACACACACACACACACAGAC